AAUCUUCGGCAAUGGGCGAAAAGCCUGACCGAGCGACGCCGCGUGAGGGAAGAAGGCCUUCGGGUCGUAAACCUCUGUCCUUGGGGAAGAAGGUGACGGUACCCAAGGAGGAAGCUCCGGCGAACUACGUUCCAGCAGCCGCGGUAAUACGUAGGGAGCGAGCGUUGUCCGGAAUUACUGGACGUAAAGGGUGCGUAGGCGGCCAUUUAAGUCUCGUGUGAAAGGCCCCGGCUUAACCGGGGAGCUGCAUGGGAAACUGGGUGGCUUGAGUACUGGAGAGGGUUGCGGAAUUCCCAGUGUAGCGGUGAAAUGCGUAGAUAUUGGGAGGAACACCAGUGGCGAAGGCGGCAACCUGGACAGUGACUGACGCUGAGGCACGACAGCUGGGGGAGCAAAC
This 397-nucleotide ribosomal RNA is filed under the name uncultured bacterium. RNAcentral's name for it is "partial 16S ribosomal RNA". It matches the Rfam family "Bacterial small subunit ribosomal RNA", at positions 360 to 773 of the family's 1533-position model. The record is from RNAcentral.